AACGAACGCUGGCGGCAUGCCUAACACAUGCAAGUCGAACGAGACCUUCGGGUCUUGUGGCGCACGGGUGCGUAACGCGUGGGAACCUGCCCUUAGGUUCGGAAUAACUCCCCGAAAGGGGUGCUAAUACCGGAUAAUGUCUUCGGACCAAUGAUUUAUCGCCUUUGGAUGGGCCCGCGUUGGAUUAGCUAGUUGGUAGGGUAAUAGCCUACCAAGGCGACGAUCCAUAGCUGGGCUGAGAGGAUGAUCAGCCACACUGGGACUGAGACACGGCCCAGACUCCUACGGGAGGCAGCAGUGGGGAAUAUAGGACAAUGGGCGAAAGCCUGAUCCAGCAAUGCCGCGUGAGUGAUGAAGGCCUUAGGGUUGUAAAGCUCUUUUACCCGGGAUGAUAAUGACAGUACCGGGAGAAUAAGCUCCGGCUAACUACGUG
RNAcentral lists this ribosomal RNA (433 nucleotides) under uncultured bacterium. RNAcentral's name for it is "partial 16S ribosomal RNA". It matches the Rfam family "Bacterial small subunit ribosomal RNA", at positions 29 to 507 of the family's 1533-position model. The record is from RNAcentral.